CUUGGAGCUUCUCUCCCCUCAUUGGUUUAUGACUGAGUUAAGCGUCUCCUUCUCUGACCUUGCCUUCCCAAGCUGAAUUAGACAAAUCUCCAUGUUCCCAUACUGGGGACACUGGGGAUGCAGUUGUGGAAGCUCAUGCAUAUUGACAGAGCCCUCCACUCCUGUGAGAUUUUGCCCCCAUAAUCCUGGGGACAAAGCAUGUUGCCCUUACACUCCGUUGAUAAGGGGGUCAAACACAUCUGGACACCAACAACUGGAUUGCUCAGGUUGUGACAGGGUAAUCCAACAAACCCAAGAGGAAAUGUGUAAAUUUGCUGAAGACUGUGAGGCAUUUGAGGUGAUGCUGAUAAUGUCGCUUGGUUUAACAAAUGCCCAGAGCCCAAGAUGAUGAGUGGUGUGUCUAGACUCUUACCCAUGGACAUUCUAUCACAACAGGCUUUACCUAAAGUAGACUGCAAUUGCCUCUUUUUUGAGAAGUCCAUCCUUCUCUUCCCUCCCUUCCCUUCCAUUCCCUUCCCUUCCCUUUCUUCCUUCUUUCCAGAACUACCCAUGUAGGAAUACUUGAAGGAAGAACAUUCCAGAAGGAAGGAAAAACAAAGACAAAUGCCCAAAGAGCAAGCAUGCCUUGCUUGCUCUAGGAAAAACUCAGAGCCACGUGGCUGGAACAGGGCUCUUCCAUCAGAUACAGAAAAACUUAUCUGUGGGUCUCCCAACUCCCACACCGAUGUUUCCACGAUACCAAUGCAAUCAGUGCAGGGAUACAAGAGAAAUUACUCAGAAGCAAGGCAUAAUUCUUGUGGUUAUUGUCGGGUCGUAACCAUAACAAGAGAGCAUUUGUGAGAGAGGAUAUUUAUUUGUUUGUUUGCUUGUUUUUAAUAAGGUCAUUUAUUUCUCUGGCUCGCUGUGACUGGACACUAGAUCAUUGCCGAAGAACAUUCUGGCGCUGAACGUAAUGCCUGUGGGAGCUCCGAGUGUGGGUGGUUUCAUGGGCAGGAAGUAGGAGAGAGCCGUAUUCUAUUGCAAAAACAGUCGAACCCCACAGAAACAUUUUCAGAUGUCAGGUACUCGGGGAGGAGACUGUGCCAUCUUCAGGCCUGAACGUCCAGAGCCCAGCAUCGUGUCUGGCACCAAAGAGGUUCGGUAAAUUGGAACUGAAGUUGGUUGAAGCAAACGGGAACAUUUUGUUCAUCCAAGAUGAGACAGACAAUCCAGCUGUGGGUUCCCAGCUAGUGUUUCUAGGCAGGAGUGUUGAAGGAGCU
RNAcentral lists this long non-coding RNA (1259 nucleotides) under Vulpes vulpes (red fox). Its description in RNAcentral is "lncRNA (ENSVVUG00000025713.1)". The record is from RNAcentral. Lineage: Eukaryota; Metazoa; Chordata; Mammalia; Carnivora; Canidae.